AGAAAAUGAGCUGACUCCUUGCUUUUCCAUGAUGCAUAUUCAAUAAUAUUUUACACACCUGAUUCACCUUGCAGAUAGUUUAGCACUGAUCUUCUGCAUUUGUGGACCUUAGGAUAGAUAUGUAUACAGACUUCCUGAUCUAUUUAUUUUUUUGCUUAUAUCUGCUUACAGAGCUUGAGUAGGAUACAUUUUGACAUCUUAAUUAAAAGACUGCAGGUUUUCAAGUCUGAUAUCAUCCUUUCUAGUUACUGUUUUGUUUUUGUCACCUUCUAAUAUUUUGCCCAGCUCCCAUACUCUAAUCGCUAUAGCUUGUCCUUCUCAUUUGAUAUUGGAUCUUCAGAUUUAUAAGGACCAUCCUAAACUUCUUACAGAUUUCUGUCCUCUUUCCAAGAAUGUUGUUCUGUUUGUAGGUUAUUAUUUCACCCUUUGUUACUUACACAACUGAUGUUUUUUCUUACCUCAUUUAAAUGCCUCGUAGUUCUUUUUACAGUGUGGUGAAUUUCUCUACAUUUCUGUCUGGUCUCAUACUCUUUUGUUCAAUCACGUAUUUCUUCUAGUGUUUUGCUUAUCCUUCUUACAUUUCUUCUGUUAUAUUUGUAUCUGCAAUACAGUUAUAUUACCACAGCCUUUUAUUGCAGUGUAAUACAAUAAUACAUAACGUUGCUUUUCUUUUUUCUUUUUUUUUUUUCUUUUUUUUCAUAAGAAAACCUAGCUACACAGACUGAACUUCAUUUAUUAGCACAGAGUUCCUGUAAAAUGUCCCUCGUCUCCAGCUCAGGAGAGACUUUAAAAUGCAAUACUAUUCCCAAAUAGUGAACUUCAGUUGCCCUCUACAAAUGAGGUUGAUUUUUACCAUACAAGAACAAGCAUGAACUUUAUGUCGUGGUUUGGCAGUCAUUAAAUAUUUCAGAGACAUCCUUGCAAAGACACCACACGCUUCUGUCAACAAGGAAGAAAACUCAUGUUGCUUUUGCAAAGCUUAGAUGGAGUAUGUCUCAGUUCUGGAACGAAGGAAGGCUGCGGGCGGGAGCAUGCUGAUCUACCCCUGCUCCACAGCUUCUGAUUUAAUUAAAACAAGACAGAUGGAGUGCUGUUCAUUAGUCCAUAUUCACCUGCUUUUCCUUUGUCAUCUCGGAAAAGUGGAGGAAGAAAGGGAAAGAGUCUGGAAACCAACAUUAAACAUUAUGGUCAAGAGUAAGUCUAAACACAUAACACCAGUGGUAUUCCCCAAUAUUCUCUGUCUGCUUAUUAGCUGUGUUUUCACCUUUUAAUUUAAUGAAAUCCUGACAAAGCUGAGUAUGUGUAAGGUGGAUGUUACAAUUUUACAUUGUUUUGUUGUGAAGAAGGUUGUGU
Molecule: long non-coding RNA, 1353 nt
Filed under: Anser brachyrhynchus (Pink-footed goose)
Lineage: Eukaryota; Metazoa; Chordata; Aves; Anseriformes; Anatidae
Description: lncRNA (ENSABRG00000001863.1)
Source: RNAcentral